UAAUGGUGGUGAUGCCAAUUUUUAAGCAUACCCGUAAAUCUAUCCCAAGCUUGGUAAAGAUUUUCUCCUUCUUUCUGCCGAAAUAUUAAUAUCUCGCUUGUCAAGCG
Capsicum annuum is the source of this 107-nucleotide non-coding RNA. The record is from Rfam. NCBI's taxonomy places the organism in Eukaryota, Viridiplantae, Streptophyta, Magnoliopsida, Solanales, Solanaceae.